UCAUAUUCAUUGUGUCUGUAGGUGUGGUAUCAUAUGUCUGUAGGUGUGGUAUCAUAUGUCUGUAGGUGUGGUAUCAAUAUGUCAUUGUGUCUGUAGGGUGUGGUAUCAUACGUCAUUGUGUCUGUAGGUGUGGUAUCAUACGUCAUUGUGUCUGUAGGUGUGGUAUCAUAUGUCUGUAGGUGUGGUAUCAUAUGUCAUUGUGUCUGUAGGUGUGGUAUCAUAUGGCAUUGUGUCUGUAGGUGUGGUAUCAUACGUCAUUGUGU
Non-coding RNA from Salvelinus sp. IW2-2015, 263 nucleotides. The record is from RefSeq and is a predicted model, not a curated record. NCBI's taxonomy places the organism in Eukaryota, Metazoa, Chordata, Actinopteri, Salmoniformes, Salmonidae.